Molecule: ribosomal RNA, 468 nt
Filed under: uncultured bacterium
Lineage: Bacteria
Description: partial 16S ribosomal RNA
Rfam family: Bacterial small subunit ribosomal RNA
Source: RNAcentral
GACGAACGCUGGCGGCGUGCUUAACACAUGCAAGUCGAACGGAAAGGCCCUGCUUUUGUGGGGUGCUCGAGUGGCGAACGGGUGAGUAACACGAGUGUAACCUGCCCUUGACUUUGGGAUAACUUCAGGAAACUGGGGCUAAUACCGGAUAGGAGCCCCUGUUGCAUGGUGGGGGUGGGAACGUUUCGGCGGUUGGGGAUGGACUCGCGGCUUAUCAGCUUGUUGGUGGGGUAGUGGCUUACCAAGGCUUUGACGGGUAGCCGGCCUGAGAGGGUGACCGGCCACCUUGGGACUGAGAUACGGCCCAGACGCCUACGGGAGGCAGCAGUGGCGAAUAUUGCACAAUGGGCGGAAGCGUGAUGCAGCAACGCCGCGUGCGGGAUGACGGCCUUCGGGUUGUGAACCGCUUUCGCCUGUGACGAAGCGUGUGUGACGGUAAUGGGUAAAGAAGCACCGGCUAACUACGUG